GGUUGUACGUCGCUUUGGAUAAAAGCGUCUGCGACC
Molecule: unclassified non-coding RNA, 36 nt
Filed under: synthetic construct
Source: RNAcentral